Molecule: ribosomal RNA, 448 nt
Filed under: uncultured bacterium
Lineage: Bacteria
Description: bacterial SSU rRNA
Rfam family: Bacterial small subunit ribosomal RNA
Source: RNAcentral
ACUCCUACGGGAGGCAGCAGUGGGGAAUCUUGGACAAUGGGGGAAACCCUGAUCCAGCCAUGCCGCGUGAGCGAUGAAGGCCUUAGGGUUGUAAAGCUCUUUCACCGGUGAAGAUAAUGACGGUAGCCGGAGAAGAAGCCCCGGCUAACUCCGUGCCAGCAGCCGCGGUAAUACGGAGGGGGCUAGCGUUGUUCGGAAUUACUGGGCGUAAAGCGCGCGUAGGCGGACUAUUAAGUCAGAUGUGAAAGCCCGGGGCUUAACCUCGGAAUUGCAUUUGAAACUGGCAGGCUAGAGUCUUGUAGAGGGGGGUAGAAUUUCAGGUGUAGCGGUGAAAUGCGUAGAGAUCUGAAGGAAUACCAGUGGCGAAGGCGGCCCCCUGGACAAAGACUGACGCUCAGAUGCGAAAGCGUGGGGAGCAAACAGGAUUAGAUACCCUGGUAGGAUAGCG